UUUCAUGGAUUUGAAUUUUAGUGUGUAAGUUUGAUUUAAUUUUCAAGGCAUAUGAUCGAGCUGCGAUCAAGUUCUGUGGCAUUGAUGCAGAUAUCAAUUUCAACAUCAGCGAUUAUGAUGAAGAUAUAAAGCAGAUGAGUAACUUUACAAAGGAAGAGUUUGUGCAUAUUCU
Molecule: non-coding RNA, 172 nt
Organism: Arachis ipaensis
Lineage: Eukaryota; Viridiplantae; Streptophyta; Magnoliopsida; Fabales; Fabaceae
Source: RefSeq, a predicted model, not a curated record